AGUGAACGCUGGCGAUAGGCCUAACACAUGCAAGUCGAACGGCAGCACAGUAAGAGCUUGCUCUUACGGGUGGCGAGUGGCGGGCGGGUGAGGAAUACAUCGGAAUCUACUUUUUCGUGGGGGAUAACGUAGGGAAACUUACGCUAAUACCGCAUACGACCUACGGGUGAAAGCAGGGGAUCUUCGGACCUUGCGCGAUUGAAUGAGCCGAUGUCGGAUUAGCUAGUUGGCGGGGUAAAGGCCCACCAAGGCGACGAUCCGUAGCUGGUCUGAGAGGAUGGUCAGCCACACUGGAACUGAGACACGGUCCAGACUCCUACGGGAGGCAGCAGUGGGGAAUAUUGGACAAUGGGCGCAAGCCUGAUCCAGCCAUACCGCGUGGGUGAAGAAGGCCUUCGGGUUGUAAAGCCCUUUUGUUGGGAAAGAAAAGCAGCAGGUUAAUACCCCGCUGUUCUGACGGUACCCAAAGAAUAAGCACCGGCUAACUUCGUG
RNAcentral lists this ribosomal RNA (492 nucleotides) under uncultured bacterium. RNAcentral describes it as "partial 16S ribosomal RNA". It matches the Rfam family "Bacterial small subunit ribosomal RNA", at positions 29 to 507 of the family's 1533-position model. The record is from RNAcentral.